AUUUCAUUAUUCUUCUAACAGUUUCCUGAAUUUUGUUUUAACUCAGUUACGUUCACAGUUAAUGCUUUCUUCCUUUUGCGGGAGCAAGGACUAACACCUGAUUCUUAUACUCUUUGUUCUUUGAUUACAACUGUCUAUCUCUCUAAGAAAUAUGUUGAAUUACCUCUGCUCAUAACUGGCUUCGAGAUUCAACCUGAUUUAGUUGCAUGUAACUCUUUUCUUAGCUAUUUAUGCAAAGCUGGUUAUCCUGAUGGUGCUAUUGAGUUUUACAAUGACAUGAUAGAUAGAGGUUUCGUAGCAGAUAAGUAUACCUUUGCCGGAUUACUAACUGGAUUAUGCAGCUCAGGUAGGAUAAGAGAGGCAGUCAAGGUGUACCGUGGACUUGUUAGAAGUCACAGUGGGCUUGAUUUUCAUAUAAUUACUGUGAUAAUAAAUGGGCUAAUAAAAUCUGGUAAAUUUCACAAAGCUGUUAGCUUAAUCAAGAAAACUGCUUCAGAAAAUCCCAACUAGAUGAUGUUUCUUACACUAUUGCCAUUAGUGGACUACUUACUGGUGGUCAAGUUGGAGAAGCAUAUACCUUGUUUAGCCAAAUGAAGGAGGUUGGCCUAGCACCAAGUAAGCAGACCCAUAAUCAGAUUCUCUCAGGUUUCUGUAAAAGAAGUGAUGUUUGCAUGGUUAAAGAUCCUACUUGAAAUGCUUGAUGCUAAUACUGAAGUUGACCAUUACAAUCUGAGCUUGAUGAAAAAUCUCCUUUAUAGAUCCCACCGCCAUUCUGCUUCACUCUUAACUCUAUUAACUAACAUUUCAAAUUCCGGAAUCCUUCCAAGGGAAGCAUACAAUGAAAUGAUCAAUGAGCUGGUUCAUCAAGAAUCAGAGCUUACUCUCUCGGAAUAUCAAAGGUGACGAGUGAUCUGAGAAUGAGGAUUCUGUAUAGUGACAGGUAUCUGAUGAAAGCACCAGAGAUAUGACUACGAGUGUAAAGCUGGAUUAGGUCACUAGGCGGAUGCUUCUUUUGUCUUCCUGGAGGAGGAUAUCGAACCAUGGAAGAGUUGCUGGAAGUGAUAAUACAGGAACGAGAAUCCACAAAAUAUGGUUGGUCUUGCUAAUUGUUGAGUGAUACUAUAAUACCUUGCUUGUGUUAUUUGUUAAAUGAUGUUGAAGAAGAUUUCAUGUAGCCUGUUGCUCAGUCCGAUUAUUCUUGCUGCUCUGAUGAGUGUUGGAAAUUUCUGUAGCUAAAGCAGAUGCAUAUCCGGGACUUCAGGAGGAUGAGUGCACUGCUAGAGGAGAGAUGGGUAUUUUAUUUUUUUAGAAUUUUGAAAAUCCAAGAAUGAACCAAAAAAAAAAAAAAAGAACAACAACAAUUACGCCUCAGUCCCAAACAAGUUGGGGUCGGCAAUAUGAAUCCUCAUUCCUUUCAUUAAGCUCAA
Nicotiana tabacum (common tobacco) is the source of this 1427-nucleotide non-coding RNA. NCBI's taxonomy places the organism in Eukaryota, Viridiplantae, Streptophyta, Magnoliopsida, Solanales, Solanaceae. The record is from RefSeq and is a predicted model, not a curated record.